This 904-nucleotide ribosomal RNA is filed under the name Nuttallides sp. 13254. Its description in RNAcentral is "bacterial SSU rRNA". It matches the Rfam family "Eukaryotic small subunit ribosomal RNA", at positions 1160 to 1677 of the family's 1831-position model. Lineage: Eukaryota; Foraminifera; Rotaliida; Epistomariidae. The record is from RNAcentral.
AAGGGCACCACAAGAACGCGUGGAGCAUGUGGCUUAAUUUGACUCAACGCGGGAAAUCUUACCGGGUCCGGACACACUGAGGAUUGACAGGCAAUAUUAAUACAUUAAUAAAUUUAUUUAUUAUAUGUAUUAUGUUAAAUAUGCUAGUCCUUUCAUGAUUAUGUGAUAGGUGGUGCAUGGCCGUUCUUAGUUCGUGGAGUGAUCUGUCUGCUUAAUUGCGUUUCACUAAGGGCCUAUAAAUUUACGUGUGUUGCGGCACUUUGACCCCUCUGUUCUUCGUAGCAGAGCGCGCGUCUUAGUUUGCUUUGCUCGCACAAUUAGGUCCUGAAAGCAACGAACGUGACCGCAACCUCUUGUUGCCUUUAUACCAAACAUGUUUAUUAAUAAUUGUUUUUUAUUAAACUUUUAUUGGUAUUCAUGAAAAAAAGGCUUUUUAAACUAGAGGGACCGCUGUUACUUUCUUAAACCAGAGGAAGGUUGCGGCAAUAACAGGUCUGUGAUGCCCUUAGAUGUUCCGGGCUGCACACGUGCUACAAUGAUUAUUGCAGUGAGCAUCUCAUUUUUACACACCGCAUGCGCGAGUCCAUUUAUUCUAUCCUUCGGGACUGUUUUAAAUGUGUAUCUCUGCGCGCGGUAAAGCCUGCUUCGAAAGUAAGUGGGUAAUCAAUUAGAAGUAAUGAUUUCCUUUUUUUAGCACACAUAUAUACGGCGUUUAUGCCCGGGCUGCCUUGUUGUAGCUUUUGUGCGUAUAGAUGUUUUUUCCGUAUGUGCGAUUGUCAAUUCAUGGUGGGGACAGACCAUUGUUAAUUGUUGGUCUCGGUCUUAACUAGGAAUGCCUUGUACGGGUCUUUGGUUCAACAAACCACCCGGAAUACGUNNNUGCCCUUUGUACACACCGCCCGUC